AUGGUGUGUUGGAACGUGAGGGGACUAAAUAGCCCCACGACACGUAAAGCACUUAGGGAGUUUGUAGAUUCAAUUCAUACUGCAAUCAUGUGUAUCUUAGAGACUAAGUUGGAGGUGGUUGAUCAGUUUGUAAUAAUGCAAUGCCUUGGUCUGGCGUAUGAUGCUUUCUUUUAUCUCCCGGCCACUGACACCCGUGGAGGUAUUUUUGUUGCGUGGGAUUCCACUAAGGUGCAUUUGAUAAAUUUUGUCAAUGAUACAAACUUCAUCACGGGUUAUGUCACCCCGGUUGUAGGGCCGGCUUGGUGGCUAACGGUGGUGUAUGGGCCACAGGAGGACGCGGAGAAAAUUCUAUUUUUGGAGGAGCUUAUAGCUAGAAGACAGCUAUGUCCGGGGCCCUGGAUUGUCAUUGGCGAUUUCAACAUGAUUCUUUAUGCACAAGACAAGAGCAACGCUCGCCUUGACCGCAUUAUGAUGAGUAGAUUCAAACGCUUCAUGGAUGACAACACGCUCAAGGAGCUUUUCUUACAUGGCCGCAGAUUCACUUGGAGUAGUGAGCGUGAGGUGCCUACCCUUACCAAAAUCGACAGAGCUUUUGUUUCAAUCGACUAG
RNAcentral lists this ribosomal RNA (609 nucleotides) under Triticum aestivum (bread wheat). RNAcentral describes it as "partial small subunit ribosomal RNA". Lineage: Eukaryota; Viridiplantae; Streptophyta; Magnoliopsida; Poales; Poaceae. The record is from RNAcentral.